This 586-nucleotide ribosomal RNA is filed under the name uncultured archaeon. Its description in RNAcentral is "bacterial SSU rRNA". It matches the Rfam family "Archaeal small subunit ribosomal RNA", at positions 83 to 656 of the family's 1478-position model. The record is from RNAcentral.
GGCCCCUAAAAAAGUAGUCAACCUGCCCUGGAGACAUGGACAACCCCGGGAAACUGGGAUUAAUCCGUGAUAGGUCAUCCCAUCUGGAAGGAGGGAUGGCUUAAAGGGGCGCGCGCGCUUCUUCUGCGCGUUCGCUCCAGGAUGGGACUGCGUCCGAUCAGGCUGUUGGCGGGGUAAUGGCCCACCAAACCUGUAACCGGUACGGGCCUUGAGAGAGGUGGCCCGGAGAUGGACACUGAGAGAAGGGUCCAGGUCCUACGGGGCGCAGCAGGCGCGAAACCUUCGCAAUGCGCGAAAGCGUGACGAGGUUAAUCCGAGUGGCCCCCGCUGAGGGGGCCUUUUGUCAGCUGUAAAUAGGCGGGCGAAUAAGGGGAGGGCAAGCCUGGUGUCAGCCGCCGCGGUAAUACCAGCUCCUCGAGUGGUCGGGGCGAUUAUUGGGCCUAAAGCAUCCGUAGCCGGUUCCGUAGGUCCUCUGUUAAAUCCACCCGCUUAACGGGUGACCUGCAGAGGAUACCGCGGGACUAGGAGGCGGGAGAGGCGGACGGUACUCCGCGUGUAGGGGUAAAAUCCUUUGAUCCGCGGAAGA